GCUAACGAGCGCAACCCUCGCUGUGUGUUACAAGUGUCACACGGAACUGCCGGUCAUAAACCGGAGGAAGGUGGGAUGACGUCAAGUCAGCAUGGCCUUUAUAUCCUGGGCUACACACACGCUACAAUGGGAAGGGACAAUAGGUUGCGAAACCGCGAGGUGGAGCCAAUCCAGCAAAACUUCCCUCAGUUCAGAUUGCAGGCUGCAACUCGCCUGCAUGAAGUUGGAGUUGCUAGUAAACGCAGGUCAGCCAUACUGCGUUGAAUACGUUCCCGGGGCUU
This 281-nucleotide ribosomal RNA is filed under the name uncultured Anaerolineaceae bacterium. RNAcentral describes it as "partial 16S ribosomal RNA". It matches the Rfam family "Bacterial small subunit ribosomal RNA", at positions 1088 to 1382 of the family's 1533-position model. The record is from RNAcentral. Lineage: Bacteria; Bacillati; Chloroflexota; Anaerolineae; Anaerolineales; Anaerolineaceae.